CCUUUUAUUACAUAAGAUUUAAGAUUUAAUAGUUUAACGCCGGAAGUUCAUAGUUUUUGGCCACACAGAAGUUCAUAAUGCUGAAGCUUUCUCCUUUCGUGAAGUCCUUCCGUGACUUAAAGGACUUAAAUAUUGACAAGGAAAUCGUUGAAUUUAAAUGUCCAAAUAUUCUCACUGCUCUUAAUUCAGUACCUAACUUGACU
RNAcentral lists this long non-coding RNA (203 nucleotides) under Nicotiana benthamiana. RNAcentral describes it as "long non-coding RNA (NBEN_LNC041444)". The record is from RNAcentral. Lineage: Eukaryota; Viridiplantae; Streptophyta; Magnoliopsida; Solanales; Solanaceae.